RNAcentral lists this ribosomal RNA (446 nucleotides) under uncultured bacterium. Its description in RNAcentral is "bacterial SSU rRNA". It matches the Rfam family "Bacterial small subunit ribosomal RNA", at positions 330 to 793 of the family's 1533-position model. The record is from RNAcentral.
UCCAGACUCCUACGGGAGGCAGCAGUAGGGAAUAUUGCUCAAUGGGGGAAACCCUGAAGCAGCAACGCCGCGUGGAGGAUGAAGGUUUUCGGAUUGUAAACUCCUUUUGUUAGAGAAGAUAAUGACGGUAUCUAACGAAUAAGCACCGGCUAACUACGUGCCAGCAGCCGCGGUAAUACGUAGGGGGCAAGCGUUAUCCGGAUUUACUGGGUGUAAAGGGAGCGUAGACGGCUGUGCAAGUCUGGAGUGAAAGGCAUGGGCUCAACCUGUGGACUGCUUUGGAAACUGUGCAGCUUGAGUGUCGGAGAGGCAAGUGGAAUUCCUAGUGUAGCGGUGAAAUGCGUAGAUAUUAGGAGGAACACCAGUGGCGAAGGCGGCUUGCUGGACGAUGACUGACGUUGAGGCUCGAAAGCGUGGGGAGCAAACAGGAUUAGAUACCCUGGUAA